GUAACGGUCUAGUCUAGCCAUAUAAACUCAUCUCAGGCUAAGAAAAUUGACUCAAUAUAUACCAAAUGCAAAAACCUAAAAGUUAGCACUUAAAUUUAACAGCAACCACAUCUCUGACUUUUUCCUGUCCACCUCUUUAGACAUAUGAAACAGCAGUUGAGGUUGAAACCCAGAUCAGGCCUUUGAAGAAUUACACACAUAAUUCCAUCUGCACCUGUCACUUCUGUUAAUCAAUAACAAACACAGCUAACUGCAACUACCAAUUGGAAGAAAGAAAAAUAACCUUGGAUGGAGAUAUGCUCACAUUCCAGUAUUCCACUGCAUUUUCGAUUAGAUUUACAAACACAAGUGAUCAAUGCAAUGAUUUUAAAUGCAUGGGUAAUCGAAUAGGAGAUGAAUUCCAUGAAAAGCCACAGAAAUGUUUUAGAGAAGCAAGAUAUAAGAAGUCACAAGAAUGUGGAAGGACCUUACU
Molecule: long non-coding RNA, 472 nt
Filed under: Solanum tuberosum (potato)
Lineage: Eukaryota; Viridiplantae; Streptophyta; Magnoliopsida; Solanales; Solanaceae
Description: long non-coding RNA (STUB_LNC001530)
Source: RNAcentral